This 229-nucleotide ribosomal RNA is filed under the name uncultured bacterium. RNAcentral's name for it is "partial 16S ribosomal RNA". It matches the Rfam family "Bacterial small subunit ribosomal RNA", at positions 568 to 796 of the family's 1533-position model. The record is from RNAcentral.
UACGUAGGCGGAAAAUUAAGUCAGUAGUGAAAUCCUGCAGCUUAACUGUAGAACUGUUAUUGAUACUGGUUUUCUUGAAUAUAGUUGAGGUAGGCGGAAUGUGUAAUGUAGCGGUGAAAUGCUUAGAUAUUACACAGAACACCGAUUGCGAAGGCGGCUUACUAAGCUAUGAUUGACGCUGAGGUACGAAAGCGUCGGGAGCGAACAGGAUUAGAUACCCUGGUAGUCC